RNAcentral lists this ribosomal RNA (429 nucleotides) under Pseudomonadota bacterium. Its description in RNAcentral is "Proteobacteria bacterium partial 16S ribosomal RNA". It matches the Rfam family "Bacterial small subunit ribosomal RNA", at positions 355 to 776 of the family's 1533-position model. Lineage: Bacteria; Pseudomonadati; Pseudomonadota. The record is from RNAcentral.
UGGGGAAUAUUGGACAAUGGGCGAAAGCCUGAUCCAGCCAUGCCGCGUGUGUGAAGAAGGUCUUCGGAUUGUAAAGCACUUUAAGCUGGGAGGAAGGGCAGUAAGCGAAUACCUUGCUGUUUUGACGUUACCGACAGAAUAAGCACCGGCUAACUCUGUGCCAGCAGCCGCGGUAAUACAGAGGGUGCAAGCGUUAAUCGGAAUUACUGGGCGUAAAGCGCGCGUAGGUGGUUCGUUAAGUUGAAUGUGAAAGCCCCGGGCUCAACCUGGGAAAUGCAUCCGAAACUGGCGAGCUAGAGUAGGGCAGAGGGUGGUGGAAUUUCCUGUGUAGCGGUGAAAUGCGUAGAUAUAGGAAGGAACACCAGUGGCGAAGGCGACCACCUGGGCUCAUACUGACACUGAGGUGCGAAAGCGUGGGGAGCAAACAGG